CUUGGAUUUUGCCAAGGCAUUUAAAACGGUUCCUCACAAUAGGUUAGUUUUCAAACUAAAAGAAAUUGGUUUAGAUGAAUAUUUUUGUUCUUGGGUAGAACAUUGGCUUAAGGAUAGAGUACAACGAGUUGUAAUUAAUGGUACAUUUUCAGGCUGGACUAAAGUGGUAAGUGGUGUCCCUCACGGUUCUGUUUUGGGACCACUUCUAUGUGCAGAUGACACAAAACUUUGUAAAGUAAUAAAAUGUGAGCAGGUUAUUGCUUUGCUGCAGAGGGAUUU
Non-coding RNA from Pelobates cultripes (western spadefoot toad), 279 nucleotides. The record is from the annotation of a GenBank genome assembly. Lineage: Eukaryota; Metazoa; Chordata; Amphibia; Anura; Pelobatidae.